CACGCCUUAAUGCGGUGCUACACUACGCUAUUAAGGUGGACAGACGGGUGUAUAAAUAUGUGUCCAUACCCCCUAUGUGAAUUAAACACUCAUAUAGGGCUACUACGCUCACGUCCAACGCUCACGUCACACCAUAAUGCGGCUAUAUGCUACGCCAUUAAGGUGGACAGACACAUAUAGCUAGCUAGAAUUUUAUAUACAUACUCUCUCAUAAAUACAUAUUUAUAUCCACCGAAAAUCCCAUUUUCGGUAACUCUCCAAAAGAAAUAAAAAAAAUCGUCAAAUUAAGAUGACGUCAAAAAUAUUCCUCAACAUUAAUAUUCAACCAAAAACUAUAGCAUGCAUUUAUUUAAAAUAAACGUCCACUCACAAAUUAGGCCUAAGCCUGAUGUCGAUCUGGGGCCUCGUCUGCACGAGCCUCCUCACGUCCUAUUCCAAAUAUAAUAUUAAUUUCCCAACCGAAAAUCCAGAACGAACUCAAAAAUAGGCAAAAUAAUUAUGAGCCGUAACCACGCUCAUUCUCGCCUAACUUCGAAAUGGUCCACACCUCAACCCUAGAACCAGCAGCCGUUUCUACACCUUCCCACAGAUUAAACAACUUUAAUCCAACGGCCGGAUUCUACAUUAAUUAACCGCAAAAAAUACCAAACUUCGGAAAAUCAUAAACCUAUCCAAAACUCAUCCAAAAAUUCCAUAACUCACUUCAAUAAACUCCCCUUAAUAAUCCACAUUUAAAACCCUAAAAAUCUCCCAAACCGCGGCGGCUCCGCCGGCAACGGCGGCCGGAGGCCGAUUCCGGCGACCUCUAAAUUCUACCAAAUUUUAAGAGAAUAAUCCUCUCAACAUGCUCUACAACUUUCCUAACUAGCACAAACCCAUAAUCCAAGCCUAGCUAUGCCAAUCGAACGAAAACAACUUAAAAGCCCUAGAACUUCCACUCACCGGUUCUCCUUAUCUAGCUCAAGAGGGAGUGAGACCUUUGGAGGGGUUGUUGCACGAGAGGAGGGCUACAAAACGAGCCAAGGAUCGCCGGCUGUGGUGGCCGGAGGAGGGAGUUCCGGCGAUGGAACCACCACGGUAGUCGUAGCUUCCGGGCGGCGUCUCUUCCUCACGGCGGCGCUAGAGAGGCUGCCACCGGUCUAGAACGGUAGCUGGGUUGGAGACCGAUCGAUUGGGACCGGUGCGGCGGUUUGGGGCGGCCGGACGGCGGCGGUCGGAAUUCCGACAGGGAGAGGCUCGGGUGCGGGAGCGGGAGAGGAGAGAGAGAAUCGGGAGGGAGAGAGAGAUUUUUGGGCUUGGCCCAACCGGUUCCAACCCACAAAUACCCAAUCCAAAUUUCAACACCCCAAAAUAAUACCCUAUAAAAAUUACCUUUUACUAGCAAAAAUUUACUAUUUUUACCGUCGUCAUAUUUUUCUCCUACGAAUAACUCUCCGAAAUAAUCGUCCCCCAAAACCCCUUUAGGGACCAAUUAAACUAUAAUUUCAUUGACGAAGACGGUAAAAUUCUUAUUAUAAUCAAGCUAGUAAACAAGGUAAACAUUUAAGGGUCGGGAUGUGACAUUUUGGGCGGCGAGAAUCGGUCCGAAGGUUGGUGGGUGGUGGAGGGGAGGAAGGUGGUGGGGCAGAUGAAGAGGAGGGUGGUGCGGUAGAUGGGAGAGAUGGAGAAGACGUAUUGGGAACAGAUGCCGUCGUUGUGGAUGAGAGAGGAUAAGAAAAGUCAGUUGGGUCAUAGAUUGGAUUCGGAAUUGGGCCUGAAGAGUGGCCCAAGUGAGGAGAAACUGAAGUAGAUUUGUCAGAAGCAUAGGGAAAAUAGUUUCAUGAAAAAUGACAUCUCUACUUGUAAAAAUCUUUUUGGUGGAAGGAUUGUAUAAUUUGUAUGCCUUUUGGCCAACGGGAUAACCAACAAAAAGGCCAGCUACAGCACGAGAAUCAAAUUUAUGCAGAGGGUGAACAUUAGUAGCAUAAGCAAGACAACCAAACACACGAAGAUGAUGAUAAGGAGGAGGUUUUGAGUAAAGACGCUCGAAUGGGGUUUUGAAAGAAAGAAGAGGGGUAGGUAAUCGAUUGAUGAUGUGAACGGCAUGAAGUGCACAUUCUCCCCAAAAUUGAAUAGGGAGUUGGGCAUGAAAUCUUAAAGCUCGGGCGACUUGUAAAAUGUGGCGAUGUUUUCGUUCUACAACCCCAUUUUGUUGGGGCGUGUAAACGCAAGAAUGUUGAAAGAUUACACCAUUGUCAUUGAAAAAAGAUCAAAGUGAAAGGAACUCGCCACCAUUAUCACUGCGGAAAGCUUUUAUACGAGAUGUGAAUUGAGUGGAAACAUAGCUGAAAAAGCGCUUGAGAAUAGGUUGUGCUUCAUUUUUGUGUUUCAUCAAAAAAAUUCAAGUGAAUCUGGUGUAAUCAUCAACGAUGGUGAGGAAGUAAUGGGCACCAGAAAGAGAGGGGUGUUUAUAACGACCCCAGAUAUCACAAUGAAUUAAAUCAAAUGGUUUUUCAGAUGAAAUGGAACUCACACCAAAAGGCAAGCGAUGUUGCUUAGCCAAAGGACAAAUAGGACAAGCAUCAACGGGUUGAACUGAAAGAUUUAAGAAGUGCUUAGCAAUGAAUUUUAAAGGAGCAUGAGAAACAUGACCUAAACGGCUAUGCCAGAGAUCAGUGGAUAGGUCGGAUGAGGUUGAGAAGUUGCAGACUGAUUGAUGGUUUGAGGAUGAAUGGGAAUUGGUUAGGGUUUUCUUCGUCGCUAAUGCCGCCAGGUAAUAUAAUCCAUCACGCUGCUUUCCCAAACCAAUCAUCCUCCCUAGCCAGAUCCUGCAAAACACACCAAUAUGGGAAAAAUGUCACUGAACAAUUCAUGCCUCUUGUUAAUCUACUCACAGACAUGAGAUUAACUUUGAAUGUAGGGACACACAACACAUCAUGCAAAUAGUACUCAGAAUUUAGAGACAAACAACCCUUGGCAACAAUAUUGGCCUUUUCUCCACUAGGCAACAACACCGGAGGCAAUGAACAAUUUUUAUCCCCGUGUAGUAGUGAACUUUGAGAAGAAGAGAUGUGAUCUGUUGCGCCGCUAUCGAUAAUCCAACGGCGAGAAGUGAUCACUACCAGAAGAAAAGCUUUAGCCGACGAAAAUAAAAAAACCAGGCCGACGAAUUUUUUUUUCCUUCGUCGGCUAAUUUAAAAUUUUCGUCGGCUAUGGUCAACUUUAACCGAUGAAAUUAAUAUUUCGUCGGCUGAAUAAUUUUUUUCGUCGGCUAUAGUCUGUGAACUUUAGCCGACGAAAUUUUUAAAAGUUUAGCCGACGAAAAAUAUAAUUUCGUCGGCUAAAGUGCCUUAUAUUUGCAGAUCUGGACAACAACUUAUCUGGAAAAAAAAACUAUACGUAGAACAUUCAAACGUAAAAAAGUCGUGAAAUAAGAUAUGACCAGAAUGGUGAAAUACGUCUAUGGUUGAAAAAUCACGGUAUUCCGGUAUUGUCUCGGUGCCGAUAGUUGACUUACCCUUAUUAUUUACUAUGCUGCAGAUUUGGCGUUUGGUGUCCGAUUGACUAUUGUGAUACCUUUCUGGAAGCGUAACGGCCCUACGAGUCAAACUCAUCGCUAUUACCAUGACAUAUGAGCCUUUUUGGCCAUCCGAGUCCGUUUAGAGCUUCAAAAUGCAGUUUUCUUAUUUCUAAUUAGAGUUGACCGUUUUGAUCGAGCCCUUACCGUUGUCGAAUCCAGUUGAAUUUUUUACCAUAGACAUCUUUCGUCAUAAUGAUCAUAUCUGACGGUCGAAUUUUGGUUUGUGAAUUUUAGUCAUCGAAAUCACAACGUGUCUACUAUUUACCGUUAUUAUUCCCUAUGGGGAGCCCUAUCGUCGGAAGGUAAAUGUCUCAAAAUUUUUAUAUGGGCAGUUGCGUCUCAUCUACGUGAGAGUUUUUCAUGUGGAAGGUUUGACCAAACUACGUAAUAUAGAGGGAGAUAUGAGCGUUUUCGUGUGAUAAGUGACGAUGGAUUAGGGUUGACCGUUUCGAUCGAGCCCUUAACGUUGUCAGAUCCAGUUGAAUUUUUUACCAUAGACAUAUUUCGUCAUAAUGAUCAUAUCUGACGGUCGAAAUUUGGUUUGUGAAUUUUAGUCAUCGGAAUCACAACGUGUCUACUACUGUUGUAUAACUUGUUUAGUAGGUUAUACAACUUUGUGAACCAACUCUACAUAAGAGGCAAAAUUAUCAAAAAUCUUGUGAAAUAAGAUGUGUUCAGAAUGGUGAAAUACGGCUAUGGUUCAAAAAUCACGUAAAUCGGGUAAAGUCUCGGUGCCGAUAGUAGCGGUCAACCCUAUUUACCGUUAUUAUUCCCUAUGGGGAGCCCUAUUGUCGGAAGGUAAAUGUCUCAAAAUUUUUAUAUAGGCGGUUGCGUCUCAUCUACGAGAGAGUUUUUUGUGUGGAAGGUUUGACCAAACUACGUAAUAUAGGGGGAGUAUGAGCGUUUUCGUGAAUUUAUAGACUUUAGCCGACAAGAUAUUAAAAAAGUCGUCGGCUAAGGUAAAAAAAUUUCAAAAUUUUUUGGGCGGUAAACCAAAGUUGGAGGAAUAUUUUCAAAGGACUUUAGCCGACGAAAAUAUAUGAAAAGUCGUCGGCUAAAGUCGAAAAAUUUUCAACCAAAAUUUUUUGGCGGUCAACCAAAAUUUUCAAAAGAGUUUAGCCGACGAAAAUAAAGAAUUUUGUCGGUUCUUUAUAUAGGCGAAGAUGGAUGGUAAGAAGUCUAUUAUCUGCCAGAUUUUCUUCUCGGCCUAGUGCCCUCGUCUCUACUUCAUUGCUGGAUAGGUGGUGCAUCGAGUGGCGCCGCCGUGAGGGAUAAAUCGAGCUCCAAAACUCCGCCGGUUCGGAUUCGGUGUCGAUCGAAUUUCUCCUUCCUUAGGUCACCAUUUGGUGAGUUCUAUAUAUGGAUAAGUUGAGUUUGAUUAGUACUACAUUCCCCUAGAAUUUGGUAGCUCGAUUCGGUGUGUGUGAAGAGAAUCGAAGAUUUGAAGUUUUUAGGGUUUAAAAUUGGGGAUUUUUAUAUUUUCAGUCGAUUGACCUGUUUAGGCUUAGAAUUGGGUUCGACUUCUUCUAGAAAGUUGUUCGAAAUGUUGAGAGGAAGAUUCUGUCAAAUUUUGGUCGUGAUUGGAGGUGGCCGAAAGUUUCUGCAGUUUUUUUUUUUCAAAACCCAGCAACUUUAGCCGACGAUAUUUAAAUACUAUAUUCGUCGGCUAUAGUAUUUUUUAAUUUUUUUUUAUAAGGUUUUGCCGACGAAUUAUGCAUAAUUCGUCGGCUAUAGUUAUUUUUUAAUUUUUUUUGUAAGGUUUAGCCGACGAAAUAUAGUAUAUUUCGUCGGCUAUAGUUAUUUUUUAAAAUUUUUUUAUAAGAUUUAGCUGACGAAAUAUACUAAAUUUCGUCGGCUAUAGUUAUUUUUUAAUUAUUUAUUACACACUUUAGCCGACGAAUAUCUUAAUUGUUUCGUCGGCUAAAGUCUGGAAAAAAACCGACGACAUGUUUUUCGUCGGCUAACUGUGGGACUAUAGCCGACAAAAAAAAAAUUUUGUCGGCUAAAGUCAUCGCCAACGACCUUUUCCCGACAAAAUCUUAGUCGACGAUGGCUCGUCGGCUAAGAUCUUUGCCGACUAAUUAAGCUAACAGGCCGACGAAACUUUUUCGUCGGCUAAAGUGCUUGUCCUGGUAGUGGAUAUUAGAAAAUUUUGGUUUGGUAACUGCAGCAUUGACUUGCGUAUCAUCAGAUCCCUUGUGAUUCAAAAUGGCCAAAGCAUGUUGAUAUUGUUGUUUGGGAAGAGGAAUGCGAACGAAGAAACCGUUUUGCCGAAUAGACUGAUUUGAUCGAUUACAUUGGUUGAACACUAUCAUCAAGGACGGACGAUCAGGAUGAUCAAUGAAAUAAUAUUUGAAUUUUGAUUCGCCAUGGAAACAAGAGAAUUAUUGUACGAGAUAUAGAGUACAACAGAAUGAUCAGAAGGAUCACUGCACGAGAGACAAGAUGCAGCGGCUAUAGAGUCAGGAUCUAGUCCUGCUCUGAUACCAUGAAAAACUGAACAGAAGAAAAGAAUUUGCUAGUAUGAAUUAUCAUUGAUACAAGGCAUGCAGUAUACAUAUACAAGGUAAAGGCGUUACCUAUAAGGUAACUAAUCUCCUACUAAACUAGAACCAAGAAUACAAUAGGAAAUAGAUAACUACAGAAUAUACAUUCCUAAUAUAAUCAAUACUCAAGAUUACUUUCCUAACAAAAACCAGAACACUAGAGAAGAAAAAACAAGGACAAUACAAGUAGCUCAAUUGAACAUUCCCAAAUAUAACAGUAAAACAAAUUAAAUUAAAUGUAGAGAGGCAAAAUCCAACAAAAAAUGUUACUUACAUUUGACUCAUUUGAUGAACCCAUAGACUUAAUACCAAACAAAGCCAGAUUAGGCAUUGCUUCAAGAAGAGUGACCAUAGCAGGAAUCAAGUCAUCAGUCCAGAUAAGGUAUCGAACCCUUAAGCAACGAACACCAUCUAAUUGAAGAGACAUAAAACGUUCUUUCGAAAAAACCUGGAUGGUAGAAAUCAAUGUAAUUUCAAAAAAAUAGAUAAGAACAAUUCACUUCAUUACAGUUGACAAAGAGCAAUACGUGUCACUUACCUUAAAGAUAGACUGACUCAGACUCUUGCAAGCAGGGUAGCUCUCCGAACUGUUGUUGAAUUGCCAAAUUCCCAUGCCAAUGCAGACGUUUAAGUUUUAGAGCAUAAAUCUUAAACGAAUUGUUAGGUCGACAAACCCAGGUGAUGAACAAUUCUUCAAGUUUAUCACCUGAGAUGUUGAGAUUGCAGCAAUUCCCACCAAAAAAAGACUCAUCAAAACAAAAUGAUUCAAGUGAAGUGCUGUCAACAAUAAUGUCCUAUUUUCCUUAGAACCAGAAACUUUGUCAAGAUGUAAUUCCUUAAUGCAUUUUCAUGAGUGUGAAAACCAUGUCCAGAACUCUUCUUAAUUUGAUAAAAAAACGUUGCUUAACUUCAAGUAUUCAAGAUUAGACAAAGAGGAAGUCAGUUCACCAAUGAAACCCUUGACGUCCACCAUUAAUGACCUCAAAGAUUCAGAGUGAAAGAGAGAAGAUGGAAGGAACUCGGACCAGUCUGGCGAAAAAUAAGUAAGUUGAACAACCUCAACAUUACACUUUACAGCAAUGUCAAUUCAGGAGCUCAGCUGUAAAUUGCCUUCAUCACAGUAGCAUAUUCCAUCAUCCUCAAAAAUGUCCUGCAGAAAUUGUACACACCAAGAAAAACGAAAGCAGCGUAUCUUCUUAUCCCCACGCUGAUUCAAGUACCUACCAAAGGAAGCCAACAAGCCUUUUCGCACUUCACAGGAAGAUAAAUUGUUCACAUCAGAAAAGUCACACAAAUUAACCGAGGGAGAUGACAGCUGAUGCCCAUUGCAUGUUUUGGAAACACAACCAACCCGAGUGAAGUCUUUGAAGGAGAGGAAGGAAAGAAUAUGAUGGGCGAUUUCAUUUGGAAGAUCACUAAACCUAUCCACAAUACUUGUUUCAGUACUACUAUUUUGCUGCAAAAUGGCCAUUGAAACUAGAAAGGUGCAAAUGGCUAUAACUUGGAGCCAGGACCCCCUUGAUCUAUACUACCUAGAUACCAAGAGUCUCUUCAAGAAACAUCCGUUCAUUCCUUGAUAAAAUAAACGUAUGCAUAUACCAAGGGGACUCACCUUCUUGUUAUCCUCCAACGAGUCAUUCUACUACAUGGGAAGUUGUAAAGUUAAUCGAGUAAUUAAUUGCAUUGAUGUCUCUUCAGAAAAAAAUUAGUCAAAGUAAUGAGGAGAAAGUUUAUGGAUUAAUUAUAAAAGACCCCUGAGUUAUAGGGUCAUUUUCGUUUUAGUACCUAACUAUUAAAAUCUUGCGUUUACAUACCCGAAGUUCUCUCUGUUUAACAACUUAGUACCUCUGUCAGUCACCCCGUUAAUUUGGGAUGUUUCUGCUGACGUGGUACUGCUGGGACCCACAACAGUCAGAACCCCAACCAGAACCCAUAUACUGUGUUGUAGCAGCUCAACUACACAAUGCAAUUGAUUUCGAGGAUCCGAAUUGUACUGAAAAGAAAAACAAUGUGAUCAGAUAAUCACCUUGGUGCGGGAAUAUCCGUAGCGAAGCUCAAUAAGAAGCCAUAGAGCUGAGAAAUGUCUGACCAGUUGUUGUGGUUGACUCGGCUGCCGACGAUGAGCAAAUGCGCUAUACAUUUCAACCCGGAGACGGCUCCGGCGACGGUCAAAGAGCUACAAUGAAGAGCACGAACCAGAAUUCCAUUAACGAGAUCGCUCUUCUUCACGAGAAUCGCCGGCGAGACUCUCCGGACGGCCAUGGAGAGAAUAGUGAGAUCAUGUGACCGGAGGGCUUCGACUCCGAUAGGAUUCGAUCGAGAGACGAGCACGCGGCGCCGAAGUAGGCGACGGGGGAGGAAGGGAGGCUUUGGUCCUUGAAGCCCUGGGCCAUGCCACCGAUGACGGCGCAAAGGUGCUGGUGGUCCUCGCGCGUGGAGUUGCCGAAGAGCGUGAGGAUUGAGGUGCAGAUGUCGGCGUCGGAGUCGUCCAAGGCGGCGGUGCUGGUUGGGGUUAGCGGCGGCUCUUCCAUUUCAAUGGCUUCCAUGCUUCGGCUCUCUCUCCAGAACCCGCCAUUGAUGGCUCUAUGAAGCUUUUGCACCACUGCUUCUGGGUUUUCCACUCCUUCACAGAUCAGCCAUGGCCGGCCCUAACCUCCUAAGCUCUCUCCUCCUCCUCCUCUCCCUCAUCUCAGUGGCCUUCACAGCCACAGACCCAAAUGACCUGACCAUUUUCAACCAGUUCCUUAAAAACAUGGAGAAUCCCGACCUCCUGAACUGGCCUUCAACCGGCGACGACCCCUGCGGCCCUCCCAAAUGGGACCACGUCUUCUGUUCCGACAACAGAGUCUCCCAGAUUCAAGUCCAAAACCUAGGGCUCAAAGGCCCUCUCCCCCAAAACCUCAACCAACUCUCUGAGAGCAAGUCCAACAUAUUCUCUAAAUUCUUUGAUUUUCUCCAUUUUGAGGAAUAUGUGCUCAUUUUCCACUCCAAGAGCUUCUCUAUCUCAUUAUCUAAAAUAGAGAAAACGAGAAAAAGAUGAAAGAGAAGUUUUGUUUCUCUAUAUUUACAGAUUCUCUAAAAAUAUUUAGAGAAAGAAGAAUUGAAUGUUGCACAUUCUUCAAGGCUCAAAGAUAAGAAAAAAACAUAAUUUAUUCUAAAAAAUAAAUUUUUAUAUUUUUAUACUUAUUAUUAUGUUGUAAUAAAUGAGGAUUGUUGUUGUAAUAAAUAUUUGAAUCUUUAAAAUAGGGAAACUGAUUUUUAGAGAAUUUGAGUUUUGCUUCUCUAUUAUGUAGAAAAUAUAAAGAAACUGUUGGACUUGCUCUGACUCUAUUAUUCGUUCAAUCUAAUUAAAAACUGACUGUUGUGGGUCCCAGCAGUGCCACGUCAGCAGAAAAGUCCCAAACUAACGAGGUGACUGACUGACGAAGGUACUAAGUUGUUAAACGGAGAGAACUUCGGGUAUAUAAACACAAGAUUUUAGUAUAGUUAGGUAUCAAAACGAAAGUGACCCCAUAACUCAGGAAAUCUUUUGUAAUUAAUCCAAAGUUUAUUGGUUCAUGGUAGCAAAAGACAUUAAUAGUUCUCUUUUUCUUCGUUUACCAAGAAGGUUUUUUUUUUUGAGAACUUGCUUAAGGACUUCCCACAAGGAAAGAACAUGCAGUGAACAAGGUCUCCCCCUCAGCAAAUUCAAAAACAAAGGAAAAUACAAAUAUUAAACUGGUUCAACUUCCUCAGACCAAAAAAAAAAAAACUGGUUCAGCUUCCAAAUCAUAAAACCAUAGUCCUAAAUCAAACAAUUCCAACUUAAUAAAGGCUUUGGAGUACAACUUACAUUGUUCUAGAGGAGCUAACUGCCGGCUUACAUACUUUGCAGUCACUCCAGCGGAGAUGGUAUUCGUUUGUACAUCCAAAGAUUGGUGAAAUACAGAAACCUUACCUUUGGAUUUGUACAAUGCAUUGUUAGCAUUUUUCACGCCUGUUCUAAUCGUUACUCAUUCUACAACUAUUUUUACCUAAAUUAAUAGGAAAGUAAUACAUCAGUAAACCUGAAAGUGACCAAUCUUCGAAAAAAAAUAAUUAACAUGAACAUGACAAUUCACAAAAUAGAAGUAUGUGGAACACAAAUAUACUAGACAUCAGAGAGUUCACUCUAAGUUGUAAACUUGGCACAAUGUAACUUUAAACAUCUGAGAAGGUCCAACAGUGAAUAAAAUUUAAUGAAUAAAACGAAAUGAGGUUGGUCUUUCAUCCUUUCUGACAUGACAGACAACUGUGGCGCUGGAUAUCAUCCUGCUUUUUAUCUCCCUCAUGACAUCGGAGUCUUUGAAUGGAUGAAAUAUGACCAUUUUCUCCAAGUUCUGAGCAUGCUCCAGGAUAUACUUUGCCAGUUCAACUCCAUUGGAUCCAUUAGAAAGCCAUAACGUUGCCUCCUUGAGCCGGUAAAUGAAAGCAAGGUUUUGCAAUUUCCAGAAUUCCAUAUCAAUACCAGAACACUGGAAGAGAACAAGGGAACAACAAAACCAAUUAAAAUAGUCAAACAAACCAUAAGAAUGAAUGCGGGGCAGUUUAGAAAGCCUGAAAUGCUCAGUCCACAAAAUUAUGAUAUAUAAAAUUAUGAUACCUUCUCUAUUAAACAACCCGCCAAAGGAAGAGAUCAUAAUAAUCAGGAACUAUGAAAGCAAUAUACACUUGACUCUAGAAUAACUUCACAAAAAAUCAUGUGUGAAAGAGGAGAUUGAGAGGCAAUAUAACUUCACUUACUCGAGCAUUAGAAACACCUGAGCGAGGGCUACACCGUAUUUGCAAAGUAUUCAGAUUAGGCAUUUCUCUAAGAAGAGAGACCAUUGCAGGAACAAUGUCAACACUCAAGUUCUUAAGUUCCACACUGAAGCAACAAAGAUCAUCUAAUGGUGUGGGAAAUAUAUAUUCCCUCGACGACAAAACCUGCAUGUUCGAAGGAAAAGCAUUUAACAAUAAAUAUGGACCCUCUAAUGUUUAAUUAAGCUAUAUAAAGUCAGAAUUUGAUUAUAAAUUAAACUUACACUAACAUAUCAAAAUUAAAAUCUUCUCUCUCCCUCUCUCCUUUUUUCUUAUAAUUAUGCAAGUAUCAGCUUAAACACUCCAUUAACAGACAUGGCAUUUCAAAAGAACAUUGUGCCUAAAUAUCAGUCUACAUAACUACAUUAGUUAAUUGAAACAUGUUUUCAUAAAAUAUUCCAGAAAAGAUAUGAGAUCAAUUGGAAAAACAAGUCAAAUAGUCUCACCAGCACUGUAUCUUUACCUUAAUUGACACGACCCACCCCGAAUUUCACCCUGAAACCCAGAAUAAGUCGUGCGGGGACCACCUCCAAGGAAAAUUUACUGAAAAGAUUAAGAAAAUCUCCCUUGUAGAUGGACAACCCUAACUCGAAAAUUUCAUAUUACACUUCUGAACAUCACAUAAUAUACAAAAAUUCUAAAGUAUUCAGAGCUACUAAACACAAGCGGAAGCAAGAAAACACAAGUAGGUGAACAGGUAACCUACUAGAUUAGAAAACUGGACCGAAAAGCGGNNNNNNNNNNNNNNNNNNNNGAAGAAGAAAAGUGGAGGGAAAGUUUUGGCGGAAUGAUUCAAAAUUCAAAAUUUUUGGCGGAAAUGACCUAUGCGACGAAAUAAAAAUUUUCAUCGCAUGAGUGAGAACUAAUGCAAUGAAAAAAAAAUUUCGUCGCAUUAGUCACAACUUAUGCGACGAAAUAAAAUUUUCGUCGUAUGAAUCCGAACUUAUGCGACGAAACAUGUUUCGUCUCAUAAACUCUCACUUAAGAGACGAAAUUUUUCAAUUUCGUCGUUUAAGUACUCACUUAAGAGAGGAACCCAGUUUCAUCUCAUAAGUGAUCACUUAAGAGAAGAAAUUUUUCAAUUUCGUCGCUUUAAUACUCACUUAAGAGAGGAAACCAGUUUCGUCUCAUAAGUGCUCACUUAAGUUACUUAAGCGACGAAUUUGAAAAAUUUCGUCUCUUAAGCCUUUUUUCCUAGUAGUGAGUAAGCUAGCCCAAGCAGCAAUGAAAGUGUAGUCGGUAGUUGGAAAAGUGUAGUCGGUAGUUGGAAACUACCUUCCCCGCCCAUAGACCAGUCAGGAAACUUGUAGACCGACAUCCGAGCUACCUCGCCAUGGUGAAAGAUCAUUCGUGUCACAUCGGGAAGGUGCUCACCCAAGCUCCAUAAAAAAGCACAAUGAUAAGUUAUAUGUGUAGUUAGUCCCACAUCGGAAAGAUAAUUUGUGAGGGAACCUUCCUUAGUUAUAAAAGGAAGGUUUCCCAUAUGUAGGAAGCUCUCUCUAACUAUCUGAUCUGAUAAUGAUCUCUCUCCCGAUCCCAAAGGCAUAUUGGCCAUGAUAGUUGAUUCUAGCCAUGUCCUCCGAUGGCAUGGUGAACCACUAUAUGUCAUUGUCUCUUGCCCAUGUUGUUUAUUGUUCGUGUUUGUGUUCCACCGUGAUUCUAUAUAGUCCCUAGGAUUAUGCAGAAACAUUUGACGCCGUCUGUAGGAAUCAGUACAAAAAGUCUUGAUGCUCUACCGGGAGGCUCAUGCAUGAAAGUCAGUUGGUGGUAUCCAGUAUGCAGGCCUAAGCCAUCACAGGCCCAACCCAUCACCUAUGCAGGCCCAAGUCACCGAGAGACAUGACCCAUCCUGCCCAGGUUCUCUUUUAACAUCAGGACAUCAUCAAGAGCCAUCCUGCCCGGGUUCUCUUAUCAUGAUGACCUGCCAAACCUCCCGCUCGGGUCCAUGACUGGCGCUUCCAGCCAUCACCCGGAGAGGAUUCAACGGGACCCGGAGACUAGUCAUGUCGGCCGGGAGCUUCGCCGUUGACGGCCGGCUCCUCCCGCUGCCCCGGUCAUCUUCUUCUCCUGGAUGGCACCUCUCCCGGGACCCGGAGCUCAGUCAUGUCGGUCGGGAGCUUCGCCGGCGACGGUCUACUCCUCCCGCUGCCCGGUCGUCUUCUUCUCCCGGGUCCGACAGCAGCUAAGCAGAAGCGUCCGGGAUUGGUGUUCUGCCAAUCCAGGGCCAGGUCCGGUGCGUCUCCCGGUGGUUCCUCUCCCGGGUCCAGCAGCAGCCAGCCUCCCGGUGACCUUGCAUCAAGCUCGUCAACAGCUAGCCUCCCGUUCUCCGGCUAAGGAAGGAAGAGGAAGUCGGUCUGGACACCCGUGAUUCCACUAUGGGCACCCAGCUCACAGCUUUCGGGAGCCUAGAGAGAAGAAAAAAGAAAGAGAAGGGGAAGAAAGGAAGAUGAAAAAAAAAGAGGAAGGGGGGUCUCGUUCUUACCGGUUUAAAAAAAAAAAAAAAAAAAAAGAAAGGAAAAGCUAUGGACACCCAUAGACGCCGGAGCUAUUUAAUUCUUUGGUCACGAGCUGGAUAUGCCGUAGCAAUGCGAACAGCCGAUUAUUACUCAUCGGAUCUCGGUGACUCAAAAAAAAAAAAAGCAAAGGAGAGAGAAACUUAUACAACACAGGUAAGGCAAUAUGAUUCUAUUCUACGGGAUUCUAACAUAAAGUUGUUAACACUACUGAAUCCUCCUAUGUGCACCCAUUCAGCAGCUAUUUUCACAGAUAAGUCCCUACCUCGUUGGUUUGUGAAAGUUCAUAAUAUUGAUGCCAUGAUUUCGUCCUAGUUGCAAGUCAACCUGUAUGUAUAUGAGUAUGCAUGCUAGUCAGUAGGUUUUGGCAUUAGACCUAGAGGCAUAAGUUAUUAAAAUCCCGAGUAAUAUCAAGCGGGAUAGGCAUUAGACCGAGAGGCAUAAGUCAUUAACAUCCCGAAUAAUAUCAAGCGGGAUAGGCAUUUGACAGAGAGAUUGGCAUUUGACAUUCAGUAUUACACAAUUGCAUGAAUCAAUACUUGGUUGGCCCCAUAAUUGUGUUGAUCAACUAAACUAUGUAAGCUGCUAAUCGCUCAUUUGUUAUGAAGGUACAAAAAUCCUCGCCCGGCCGAAUAAGUUUUGAGGCCGGGAGUCGGGAGGGGCAUUUUUUUGUCUUAUCGGCGGACUUGGGGGGACUGGGGCCGGGUGCCCGUUAAUAAAUGACUAGUCUAUGGGCAUUUUAUAUAUCAAGUCCCCACUCAAGACGCGUCUUGAACGGGAACUUGGGGGGACUUGUAGUCGGACUGAGAAUAACUACCCUCAGUAAUUACAUUCAACCACAAAAUACUGACUUAAGUUUCAGAAAAGGAAAGACCGGAAGCCCCCGGUCCCCUUGUUAUUGCAGGUCAGCGAGGAGAUAGCAGAUCAUCCACCAGACACACCAUCAGCUUCUGCGAACCCGUCCGGGAUUGUACAGAAACAGAAAACAAGGAGCCAGCUUAUUGUACUUCCUAUAUAUCUUCGAGUAGUGCCACAGUAUAACACCUGAAAACAAAAAUAAUGAACACAGAUAUAUCAAUCAAGACCACUUCUGAUAUAAUUAAGGUGAACAUGAAAAUGAUAAUAAUUAGAAAAUUAGUAUAAGCACUUCAGUGAAUAUUGUUCCCUCAAAUCAAACUGGACUUCAAAUAUACCACAGAAAAAAAAGGAUUCAGUGGCAUGAAACAAGAUACAGCCACCCCACAAUUACAACUGCAUGUAUCAAUAAAUUGACAAUUCUUGCAUACCAACAGUAGUUAAGAGUAAAAUACAUCAAAGGUACUAUACUGGUGCAUACUUUCCGUAAAAACAUUGUAUUCACUUCUUUGCAUCCUAACAGGCUAGGCGAGUGCUUUUACCCAAUUUGCAAAACCUUUCAAAUUGAUAUGCUGCAGAGUUUGUAAUUUACUUGAACUCUGGAAUAAUAAUAAUGAAAGAUGACACGACCCACCCCGAAUUUCACCCUGAAACCCAGAGUAAGUCGUGCGGGGACCAUCUCCAAGGAAAAUUUACUGAAAAGAUUAAGCAAAUCUCCUUGCAGAUGGACAACCCUAAGUCGAAAAUUUCAUAUUACACUCUUAAUUUAACGCUUCUAAAUAUCACAUAAUAUACAAAAAUUCUAAAGUAUUCAGAGCUACUAAACACAAGCGGAAGCAAGAAAACACAAGUAGGUUGUACAGGUAACCUACUGAUGAAAACUGGCCGAAAAGCGGGUGACUAUGCCUCGUCUCCUACUAGAUCCAACCCGAACUCUGCAGACUGGGCAAUUUAAAACGAAGGGCCCAGGGGAAAACAUUUAAUAACGUUAGAGUGAGUGGACAAAAAUAAAUUAAUAAUUAAAAUAUUUAUGUUUCCCCAAAUUAAUUUCUAAGGAAAAAUCGAAUGCCUGCCGCAAGCGAUAAAACCUUUAUCCCAUAAAUAUCGAGCCUCUCAGACUCUAUAAUAUAUGUAUGUAUUUACAUCGUCCAUACUCCCUAUAUAAUUCAUGGGUCUAUAUAGGGCUACUACGCUCGCGUCCAACGCUCACGUCNCGCCUAAUGCGGUGCUACACUACGCCAUCAAGGUGGACAGACGGUGUAUUAAAUACUCGUCGACCCACUACCCCUAUAUGAAUUAAACACUCAUAGUAGGGCUACUACGCUUACGUCCAACGCUCACGUCACACCAUAAUGCGGCUAUAUGCUACGCCAUUAAGGUGGACAGACACAUAUGGCUAGCUAGCAUUUUCUAUACAUACUCUCUCAUAAAUACAUAUUUAUAUUCACCGAAAAUCCCAUUUUCGGUAACUCUCUCUCAGAGAAAUAAAAGCGUCAAAAUUAAUUGACGGUAAAACUCCAACAAAAGGAAAUGUUCAAUCAUGAACCAUAGCAUGCAUAUUACUUCAAAUAAAAGUCCACUCACGAAUUAGGCCUAAGCCUGAUGUCAAUCUGGGGUCUCGUCUACUCGAGCCUCUUCACGUCCUGUUCCAAAUAUAAUAUUAAUUUCCCAACCAAUAUCCAAUAUUUAAUCAAAAUAGGCAAAAUUACCCGAGAGCCAUAAUUACGCUCAUCAUUGCCUAACUUCGAUAUUCUUACAUCGGAAUAAUCCGAACUUAAAUAUCAUACUCAACAGUCGUAAAUACAACCUCUCUAAAAUACGACUUAAAUCCAACGGCCGGAUUCUACAUUAAUUAACCGCCAAAAAUACCAAACUUCGGAAAUUCACAAACCUAUCCAAAUCUCAUCCAAAAAUUCCAUAAUUCACUUCAAUAAUAUCCCCUUAAUAUUCUACAUCAAAAACCAUAAAAUUUCCCAAAACAGCGGCGGCUCCGCCGGCAGCGGCGGCCGGCGACCAACUCCGGCAACCUGCAAAUGCCACCAAAUUUUAACAGAAUCUUCCUCUCAAUCUCCUCUACAACUUUCAUGACCAACACAAACUCCAAUUCUAAGCCUAACCAUGUCAAUCGAACACAAACAACCAUAAAUCCCUAAAACUUUCAAUUAUACAAACCACCCUAACGAAAUCGAAUUAAGCCGAAACCUUUUGAGGGAUUACUCACCUAGAUGAGGGCUACAAGUUGAGCCAAAAAUCACGACCUAUGGUGGCCGGAGGACGGAGCUCCGGCGAAAACACAGUCGGCGGUUCCGGCGGCUUUUUCUCCUCUCCGGCGGGUUAGAGGCUCGGGGGCUAGGCCGGGGAGGGAGAGGAGGUGACGGGGGUCCGAUCUGGGCUGGAGCGGCGGCAGCUGGUGGCCGGACGGCGGCGGGAGGACGGCCGGAAGUCUGCUGGGUGUAGAGAGAAAAAACUCGGGUGGGAAGAGAAGAAAAAUCGGGAGGAAGAGAGAGAGAAAGGAAGAAGAAAUGGGUUGGGCUCGGCCCAGCCGACCCAACUCUCCUUUUAAUCCAAAAUUCAACACCCCGAAAAAUAAUACCCGAAUAAAAAUUACCUUUUACUAGCUAAAAUUUACUAUUUUUACCGUCGUCGUAUUUUCUUCAUACUAAUAAUCCUCCGCACAUAAUCGUCCCCGAAACCCCUCUAGGGACCAAUUAAACUAUUUACUCAAUGACGGAGACGGUAAAAUUCUUAUUAUAAUCACGCUAGUAAAUAAGGUAAAAAUAUAAGGGUCGGGAUGUGACAAA
This 17092-nucleotide long non-coding RNA is filed under the name Fragaria vesca (wild strawberry). Its description in RNAcentral is "long non-coding RNA (FVES_LNC003129)". Lineage: Eukaryota; Viridiplantae; Streptophyta; Magnoliopsida; Rosales; Rosaceae. The record is from RNAcentral.